GACGAACGCCGGCGGCAUGCCUAAUACAUGCAAGUCGAGCGAACAGAUGAAGUGCUUGCACUUCUGACGUUAGCGGCGAACGGGUGAGUAACACGUAAGGAAUCUACCUAUAAGCGGAGGAUAACAUUCGGAAACGGGUGCUAAUACCGCAUAAUAUCCUCUUCCGCAUGGAAGAAGAUUGAAAGACGGCUCUGCUGUCACUUAUAGAUGACCUUGCGGUGCAUUCGUUAGUUGGUGGGGUAACGGCCUACCAAGACGAUGAUGCAUAGCCGACCUGAGAGGGGGAUCGGCCACGUUGGGACGGAGACACGGCCCAAACUCCUACGGGAGGCAGCAGUAGGGAAUCUUCCGCAAUGGGCGAAAGCCUGACGGAGCAAUGCCGCGUGAGUGAAGAAGGCCUUCGGGUCGUAAAACUCUGUUAUAAGAGAAGAACAAAUUGUAGAGUAACUGCUACAGUCUUGACGGUAUCUUAUCAGAAAGCCACGGCUAACUACGUGCCAGCAGCCGCGGUAA
Molecule: ribosomal RNA, 513 nt
Filed under: uncultured bacterium
Lineage: Bacteria
Description: partial 16S ribosomal RNA
Rfam family: Bacterial small subunit ribosomal RNA
Source: RNAcentral